CAUGUUAAUUGCCUUUACGUAACAUUUAAUGUGAAUAUAAUAGUGCACAGAAAAUGGGCAUGUGGUUCAUUCUCAUACAAUUUUUAUUAACUUUUUAUGAACUCAAAAGUUUGCUUUUUACAUGGAGAAGAUGGAUUUUAAUCGUUCGAAUGUUGGUCACGGAGGGGAGAAUGAGAGAAAUGGGUUACAAAAAGACACGAUUCCUGCAAGUGCAUUUAACUAUAACCGUAAAAUUGAUUAUUCCAAUCAAUGUAUGGAAAAGACUCAAAACCGUCCAAUAAGUUUGGAAAGCCUGUAAGUAAAA
Saccostrea cuccullata (small rock oyster) is the source of this 304-nucleotide long non-coding RNA. RefSeq lists it as uncharacterized. The transcript has 2 exons. NCBI's taxonomy places the organism in Eukaryota, Metazoa, Mollusca, Bivalvia, Ostreida, Ostreidae. The record is from RefSeq and is a predicted model, not a curated record.